This 233-nucleotide ribosomal RNA is filed under the name Clostridium combesii. RNAcentral's name for it is "partial 23S ribosomal RNA". It matches the Rfam family "Bacterial large subunit ribosomal RNA", at positions 1 to 226 of the family's 2925-position model. The record is from RNAcentral. Lineage: Bacteria; Bacillati; Bacillota; Clostridia; Eubacteriales; Clostridiaceae.
AAUUUUAAGGUCAAGCUACAAAGGGCGCAUGGUGAAUGCCUUGGCACUAGGAGCCGAAGAAGGACGCGAUAAGCUGCGAUAAGCCUUGGGUAGCCGCAAAUAGGCUGAGAUCCAGGGAUUUCCGAAUGAGGAAACUCACAUGGGUAACCCCAUGUAUUAUGCACUGAAUACAUAGGUGUAUAAGGGUAAACCCGGGGAACUGAAACAUCUAAGUACCCGGAGGAAGAGAAAGA